CGGUUACGUGCGCGCUCCUAUCAACGCUGUCACUAGCAAAAUCGGAGGUUAAUAUUCAGAAAUGCUCCGCCGAUAAAAGUUUCUAAACGAUUUAACUUUUAAUUUACAUACCUUAAAACUGCUGCAUUAAGUUUUGUAUAAGGUCUGGUUUAUUCUGUGUCAGUUUUGUAACUUUGUGAAUUUUCUAACUGAAGUUAUAUCGAGUUUCGUUCUGAAAGUAGCCAUUAAUGCUAGCGGGAUACAGUUGCUUUUAUGCUAGGUGGGAGGCUCCGGUUUUAACACACCUUUGCUCUUUUAUCAGGGAGAUGUUCGCUGCAGACGACAAACACACCGAGCUCAUGGAUUCUUGUAUUUUUUGUCUAUAAAUACAGGUAUACAGACAUUUUUCUGUGUUUUAAUAAUUAUAUUUUGUUAAAAUUUGACAUCUGGUGUUGAGGGGGCUCUACUUUUAUAUCGGUUGUGUUCAGAGCUGUUAAAAUAGGCUUAAAUGCAAAAAAAAGUGUACUUGCUAUUUAAGUGUGCAUUUCAUUGUUAAAUAGCUACAAAAGAUACUGUGUUUUUGGCUUCAAAUCGUUAAGAAUAUGGUGUCAUAAUUGUUUAUUUCAUCGGCAUUUCAUGGUUACAAUUUAUUUACUUCUUUUACUGUUGUAUAUUUAUGUCAUGUAACAAAUAGGGGAGAGUGGGGUAAGUUGAGCCACCCCCCUGUUGCUUGUAAAUGGUAAAAGAAAUUGAUCCUGUGACCAAAUAUCUAGGAGAUGGGCAUCAAUUCAUUGAGUCUGUGAAAGGUUAGAAGCACAUGGGUGACAUUUAUUUCCAAAAAAACAUAUUUCACCCUUGAAAGCGAAUUUAGUCUGUCAUAAGUUUUAUUAGAAUUGUGUUCAGAUCAAAAAGAUCAUUUUAAAUUUGUUUUAUACAUCAAUUGUGGUAUCAAUGAGCUACAACAUGGUCAACUUACCCUAUAGACGGGGUUAGUUGACCAAAGGAGGACACUUUGUUCUGGCAUGCUACAUUAUCAAGACAGUUCUCUUUACACUCACUCUGUUGGUUUGUAGGGAUGAACAACAUCUUGAAAUAUAUGCAGAUACACUAGUUAGAGACAAAACUAGGAUUGACUUGAUGUAGUGAUCCGAUAUAUGCAAAGUGGCUCAUCUUACCCUACUGUCCCCUACUUAAAAAAAAAGCUGCUGCAGACUGAGCUCAUGGAUUCUUGUAUUUUUUGUCUAUGAACACAGAACGGCCAAAUUGAAGAACCAGAAGCUACGUAAUGUUUUCCUGACUGGUCAGUAUAACCCAGAACACAACACACACACGGUUUACAUAAGCAUGUUCUUUUAGUUUUCUCCCUUCCAUCUUUAAAACUGCAAAACCUUAUUCGACAACAGAGGGAACAUCACUUUGUCAUACCUCAUAAAGCCUUGUCAUUAUUUCUCCAUUAAUUCUCUAAAAGGGAUAAAAUAAAAAUAGCACCUUGUGGGCAGAAGUUACAAGCCCUGCAGCCUUUCCUUUCUGCAGUUCAGGCACUAAACGAACUAGUCAGUGAUUGUAAGUCACCCCGGAUAAGACUUGUAAAUCUCUAUCUGUUCCUGUGAAUGACAGCACUACAAUACGUGAAAGCAAGUCUUUAAAUAAGACCAAUGCAAAAUAGUGUUUUAUAUCCUAAGCUCUGGCAUUAAACCCUCUACCUGAGAGUGUAUUAUAGCUGACCCUGACGCUCCAUCGUAUCUCUUUGAAGCCAUCACAGCUCAGCAUGGUUCAGAAAUAUUACCAUAUCUAUAAAGCAAAGGGAUCCAGUAAUGACUACAAAAAGAAAUACCUUCACCUCUUUCUGCUGAGUUCAAACACAGUAGCAUGGUAACGGCUUAAAGCUACCCCUCUAAAGCACUAAUGUGUUCAAAUACCCACGGGCCCCUCAUUGCAGCAAGAUUGAAAAUACCAGCAGUGACUGCUAGCCAGGCACUUAAACAGAAAAAAGGCCCAUGGUCACCCUCUGUGACAUGUAGCAUCUUAAUGGUGCUGUUAUGAUGAGGGCUACGGGAGGAGCAUAUAUCAUUUGAGCCCCUUUUGCUCGACUCAUCAUUGCAUGAUAGAUCACCUGCAGCCCAGAGCACUGCAGUAAAGUAUGUGGUAAGAAUUGCCUACAAAAACCAGAGCUCAGGACAUUCUGCUGCUUCAUUGCUGUUUCAUGGCAUAUCACCACCCAGCAUGCACGCACAGAAGAAGACACUGACACAUCAUGCAGCAGAGAGACAUUAUAUAUUUACAUUACUGCUGACUUCAAAUGACACGACUGUGCAUCACAUCUCUCUCUCUCUCUCUCUCUCUCUCACACACACACUCCUGCAUGCCCAAGUGUGUCUGCCUACCUGGUGCAGCAUUAAAUAGAAACAAAGUGCUGACUGACCUAUUAAAAUAUUGCUUAAUGGCAUCAUUAGCAGUACAAAAAAAAAAGAAAAGAAAAUCCCACAGGGGGCUUUUUAAGGCCUUGGCUGAAACUUUCAGAUCAUUUCUUUGAUGGCUUCAGUGAAUAAUGAACUUAGAGUCAACUUUGUCUUUCAGAAUUAUAACUAGUAGGAAAAAAAAAGACCAAGUUAAGUUCCAAGUACUCUGAAUAGAAAGACAAAUAUUUUUCUGUGUGAUGUCGAGGUUUCAACAGAAGUACCUUAGAGGCUGCCAUUCAGUGUGAUUAUAUAAAUGUCAGAUCAGACUGCAUAACGACCAAAAUAUAACCAAAACUGACUCAAGUAUGAUCCAAACAGGUUGCUCAAGAUGCUCCCUUGAUCAUCCCUACUGUUGGUGAAUCGGCGGUGGCCUUUGAGGACAAGACGCUCCUGCGACACUAGGUAAGAGUGAACCUUUAUUACAAAAACUCAUCGGCUCUGUGCCUCCGUUAAAACAUAAUGAAGCAAAAUGCCAGCCGCCAGGUUCCAUGUCUGUCCAUUUAUUGUGGUGUUUUUUAAGAGGGUAUACACUUUUUCUCCAGCUGGCUUGCAUGGAAACAGUUUCUCUUUGCAGAAAGCGAUUGCUUCUGUUUCUUUCUCUUCUUCUUGUCGUCUUCUGAAAUUGUUGAAUUCAUCUCAACUUAUGAAGCCGAACUGAUCUUAAAUUAUAUUUACACAGCAUUAACUCCGCUUCCUUUUCACAUUUACUGUCGUAUCAAACUCAAACUCUUCUUUUGGUCCUCUGGUGAGUGUCCUUAUUGAGCCCUUUCUUUGUAAAGUAUGCCCAGGAUCAUGUACUGACAGCACAGGCUCAUAAAGUCAUAUGUAAUGUUGCUUUGCUAAUGGCAACACCGGGGAAUAAGAAGCCCUGAUGUUGGGAAACCGGUUUGUGCCUCUGCUUUUACUCUUGCAAGUGUGUCAGUCACGACUCAAAAACUGAGGCAGAUUCAGCUUCACUUCUCAGUUGUUUUCUGGCGUUUGACGCAUUCACUGACAUGCACUUUUGUUUUAAUGCAGUUUUUUGAUAUUUGAAUGAUACUUCCCUCUGUUAUAUUUCAAUCCUUCUGUGUAUCUUCAAUUUCUAUAAUCCAAAUGUAGUUGUAGUCUUUUAAACUCUGAACCUUUGUGUUCAGCAGUGUGCAGUUUCCAUGCGGAUGUGUAGCUCUCCUUGAUACCACCUGUUUUUGCCACCUUUGCAGUGACCCACAUGGUAGUUUAGCCCAGCUUUGGGUGGUGAUUUUUUUUUUAGAUUAAAAAUGCAAUUCCGGAAACCAAUCAACGAAGACUUUCUCUGUCUCCCCCAGCAACUACUGUGUCAGCCAACCCUGCAGAAGCAAAACAAUGCAGCGAAAAACACAGACAGCCAAGGAAGUAGUAGUUACAUCUGUCUGUGUUUUUAGAUUAUUUCCACACUAUCGUUAUUUAUAUCCCGGGCCAGAGGUUCUCACACUCCAUUAUUUCCGACAGGCUGUUCAAUUUCUGCCGGACGAGCGGCAGCAGCGAUCAGGUGGCCACAUUGUAUUGUAUUUAUGUGUGAUUGUAGGAACACGAUGCCUCAUUAGACCUUUAGUGCCCUGGCUCGCCGCGGCCCCAUCCACACACAAUAGCCCAUCUUAUUAUAUCUAUCUCUCGCCCACCUGACCACUCCACAGAGAGCUCUGGCAGCCGCAGUCAAGCUGUUGGAGAUCAUGGGCAACUGGGACCUUUUGUACAUUGUAACAUCUGCACACUGGCUGCCUGUGACAAGGUCUGGCGCUGUGAUCUCCCCCAAAACACCUAUUUUUUUUUUUUUCUGUCUCAGCUGCCUCCCUGAACUCUCUCGCUCUGCUCUUGUUUUUUUCUCCUCUCAUGUCUCCUCCUUUUUUGUCAUCUCCUUUUUUCUCUCACCACCAAAAGACUGGCUAUAUAUAACCACUGCUUCACUGACCUCCCUUGAAAUUACACAACAUUUUUCCCCAUUAUUAUUUCCCCCCCUUUCCUGACCACCUCUUAUAUAUUCCCCGCGGCUUUGCAGGCUCUUAUUUUUUUUGUCCCUUUCCUUUUCCAUCACGAUCCAUUCUCGGUCUUACCUGUCUGUUCUACCUCCUCUCAUGUCAGCUUGUCUCUCAUGUUCUCUUAAGUACUCCCUCCAUCUCUCUCACAUACACACACACACAUAUAUAAACCCCCCCCACCCCCUCGUCUGUCUCCUCUAUCACCCCACCUCCAAAGCUAAAGCUGUCUGACUUCCUACCUGCACAGUCCUUUGAGAACACAGACGUACAGUACAGUAUACCCUGCUAUGCAGUACAGAAUGGAGGAGACUGCUGUGCAAGAGCAGGAAAGGGCAAACACUGCUGCACCUAACAUUUCCAGAUAUAUUUGUAUACUGUGCAAAAUAUAGAGAAGAAAACUUGGCUGCAUUGACUGUAAAACAGUGUAAAGACAACAGAUCCAGGUCAUUUAAAGGGAUGUUUCAGAAUAGCUGAGUCAGGGGCAUGUUUGCUGUCAUGUUGCAUCACUUUUUCUUUUUUUAACAGCGCUCUGUAAACACUUUAAAACCCAGGAGACCAGUACCUGGAGUUUUGAAAGGGAUGUUUUUCUUCCACCCACUCCUAAAACAAGUGUAGGGUUUCAACAAUUCAGGGUUUUGUUGGGACAGCAGGCAAAUUAAGCACCAGGACUCUUCUACUGCAGAGCUGAAUGUGCAGAAUGUGGUUUAGCAUAACAUCUUUUAGAAAUAUGAAAACGUUGUCUGGAUGGCGUUGUCGUGUUUCGCUCCAAAACCUGCAUAUAUUGUCCAGUUCCAGUUUCCUGACUGUUGAGUGGUGACCUUGAUUGGCUGUUUUUCUUUUUUUUAGCCUUUAGAUUGAGUGUGGGCGUUUGAAGCUCUGUCACAGCCAGCAGGUUUUAAGUGUGUCUGCGGGUAACUUUAGCAGUUUAAUUUUAUAGCUCUGUCUGUUGCUAUGGAGACGUCAUUUAACGUGACAUCCGCGGCUGCUAACUAAUUUCAGCAUCUCGGCGAACGUUGUGUACGUGUGCAAACCGCUCACUGUGACAUAAAGAGAAAAGAUGAAAGUAGGUAAGGUUAACGCUGUAGGAGAAAUAUAGACAAGUGUGAUCACAGAAAUUGGCAAAAAAAAAUUACAACAAAUAAAUAAAAUGCAUGGAGGCAUUCUUAUGGGGAAGAACCUUUAUUUUUUUUGUAAAACUGAGUUUUUUUCACCCCAAAAAAUCAGAUUAGCAGACUUAGAUUUGGUUUUAUAAUAUGGGUCCAAGAGACUUGUCCUCAGGUCCAGAUAAGAUUCUCUGAAUUUCAAGCUCGUUUUGCUCAUUCACUUCAGUCUUGUCCAUUACAUAUCGAUAAAUAAUCUAAUUCUUUACCUCAGAGGAGACUUCAGACUCAGCUGUUUGGACGUGUUUCAAAUACAUCAUUCAGGUUCAACAUAAAUGGUCACACCAUUACCUCAAAGCGAGCGUCAGUCCUCUCUGCCAAGUUUAAAUACAGUUUUGCCAUUACAGGAUUAAUGUAACCAUGUCGUACCGAACACCUGCUCACACCUGCCGGGAGGAUGACAUUGACUACAUCAACCAAGGUCAAACUCAACUGUGAUUAAUGUCUGUUAAUUGGUACGAACAUCAGAGAAAGUAAAUUACAGCAAAGAGAGCAAACGCUCCAUCAUGUUUAACUGCAGUUACAGAGGCGGCAGUCACAUUUGUUAUGGCACACCUAAAACCUGCAACAUGGCAGCAUGACGGAUUAUGGAGACCCGGGGCGACAAACAAUAUGGGACUUGUGAAACCUGAUAUGUUUGUUUUGUUUGUUUUUCAUGGGGUAACAUCAAAACCCGAAUAAAGUUUAUAAUCUAUCAACAAAAACACACACAAAAAACCACAAGUGUAUAUUUUAGCAUGGAAAUGUCUCCAUAAACAUGCUUCAGAUCCAACUUUAUAAAUCAUUUAAUUCAGUUUCAACCAAUGAUGUGGUUGAAACUGAAAGAAACCAUGAUUCUAAUUACCUUUUAACAAAGUUUCCAAACUUUUUUCUUGAAUUUGGGUUGAAAUCAGUCGUAUUACUUUUAAAUUUAUGCGAGAUAUGACUGUGUAUUCCCAGUGGAGCCUCUGCUUUUGUGCCACAAGUUCAGCGGUUUAAUUAAAAGGAAUAUAGUGGGUGGGUUUGUUUGUGUGUGGUGGCGAGCCUUCCUCCUUCUUUUUAGAGGUAAUCUGGAUAAAAAUCCACAACUGAAUUAAAUUUAAGGAGCUACUCACGAUCCUGAAGUGGAAACACAUAAGGAGCUGUCAUGGUUGUGUUUGCGGCGCUGUCCAAGGUGCUGAUCCUGUCAGUACAGCUGGUGUGGCCUAAAACGGUCCUUUUUAACACUUCAGCCCAUUCAUAUCUUCAUUUAAGUGUAUAACUGACUGCUAUAGUGUUCUUGUAACCAGGAACGACCAUAUUUGGUCAACAAUGUGAAAGCAUCGUGUUGCGUGUCUAUUUUGUUUGUAGGUGUCCUCCGAUGACGCCCAUGAUGCUAAAUUUGUUUUCUACUUUUUGCUGAUGGGCUUCACUGUCUCCGCCAAAAACCUCAAACAUGGACGUCCCCAGUCAUGGACGCCAUGACUCAGGACCAUGUGUCACCUCGUUUAGAUUCAGGCUAUAAGAUGGUAAUCAUACAGUCACAUAGGUAGUGACACCGAUGUCAACAUGAGGUUGACACUGAUAUCAUUAAGUCGAUGUAAGCGUGCGAGGACAUCCUUUCCUACAUUAUCAACCAGAGCACACAGGGACAAUCCACGUCAUUAUGCUGUUGAUUCUGCGUGCACACACUCUGAGUUGCCUGUCAAGCUUCUUUCAGCACCCACCAUGAUUAAUGAGUCAUUGAGUCUUGGGGAGAGGGGGCGGGGGGACAACUCAGCUCAUGUCAACAACGCUGACUGUGUGUGCUCGCAUCACGUGCUGCUCACUAGUCGCUGCUCCUUUCUGCCUGCUCACUUCAGACGCCACAGUCCAGGAGAAAUAAAACUCUCCUGCAGUGGAUGUCCUCGCCAAUUACCAACUUGGAGGGGGUUGUUAGAAAAACACACACCACUCCCCCAGGCGAGCACCCGAAUUAAUACAAUCAAGCACAGAUAGUGUGGAGAGAAAAGUCUAUCCAUCUCACUUUCUUGUGUCUGGUAAUGGUACCCAGUGUCUUCUGGUAAUGGCCUCUCUGCCACGCAGAGAGCAGCCACAUAUUAAUGAAUGUUGCCAUUUGCAUGCGCAAGUAGCUUCUGAGGGUCUAUCAAAGCAAAUUGCUUUAUCUGGAAGGAACGUGACCCUGCCAAUGACUGGGUUUUGUAAAUAAGCCAUUAUCCAUCUAAAGCAUAAUUACGUUGUAAAUGUCAGCGGGUUGCGGGGCCUCGAUGACCCCGGUCUGGAAUUUUACAGGAGUCUAGUUCAGAAACGGAGCACAUAUUAAAUGUACACAAGCUGUAAGGAUAGAGGGGCUGCAGAGCUGCUAAAUAUGUAUGCACGGCUUCAUGUUCACGAGCAGGUGCUGCUGUGAUCAAUGCGGUUAUUAAAUCGAGAUUGGAAGGUAUAGAAAUGUGUGAGUAUCUCUGCCUUGACAGGUCUUUAUAGAAAUAUUCAUCUCAGUUAUAAAGAAGUGCGAGCUAACACGCAGCCUGAGAUCGCUCCUGCAAACAUUUUGUUCCUCUGUUAUUCUGCUGAACGUCACGAGAUGAGUCAUAAUCCUGACACACAAAGCCUGCAACUCUAACGCUAUAAAAUUACAGCUUUAAUCCUGAAAAUUUAAGACAUUUCUUUUAUAAUAAGCUUCAUUUUAUCAUUUUUUUUAUUCUUAUUUAUUCUGUUUCCAGCAGCUAACAUGCUCAUUCACCUGCAUGCACAUUUGUCAGUUCAGUUACAGCUGUAAGGAUGCCUGAAGAGCCCAAAAAUCAUGAGUUUGACUUUUUCAUUGUGGGAGCCGAACACUUGACUCGGGUAAUGUGGACCUGACUUGGACUCUCUUCCCUCUGCUCAGACUUUGAGGACUUGAGACUCAGUCCUGGGUUUAUAGUUUGGUGACGUGUCUGUUUGCACAUCGCUGCGGGGCUACAAAAACAUACUGUAGAUACUAAAUGUUGUUCUCCUGCUUUAAAUGACAUAAAACUACAUAAACUGUUGGGUUUUAUCACUCUUGCAGUUAAUUUCUAGUCUUUUGGAAACUUCCUACUUUUGCAACUUAAGCUACUUGUGCAAUCUUUAUUUUAUGACCAAAGCUCAAUAUACUUUUCUUUUAGCACCUUUGCAUCCCAGAUCUGUUAGACAUCAGGUCCAUCUGCUGAGAAGGCACGAGUUUAAUGUAUUUACCAGUAUAAUCAAAUAUUUCACACAAACCGUGUUACAGCUGACGUAAAAGUUACAGCUGCAGCUGUAUUUUUCAUGCCUUGUAAACCUUGAAGGUUGUUUCCAUCAAUCAAAGCAGGUACAACACACCUCCAGUUUUAACUUUUAGCCUUUAGGCAGAGCUUCUUUUUAACAUUUGGCUUCCCUGUGUGUGUGUGUGUGUGUCUGUGUGUGUUUGCUGUCAAUGUUGUUAGCCUGUGUGCAUGCAUAGGUCCUCUUUAAGUGUGUCUUAUGCAUGCAGGUCUUCACUCCUCACUUUGCAGGAAUCCAUAGCAACACAGCCGCCUAAACACACACAGAGGAUGGGAUCAAAUGCAUGCUGUGAAAAGCUGGAGGUGUGAGAAGGAACCUGAACUACAGAUUUUCUGUUUUUGUUUAACAAGAGAAGAAACGUCUGUGUGUGCGUUCAGACGCUCCGAGG
RNAcentral lists this long non-coding RNA (9223 nucleotides) under Xyrichtys novacula (pearly razorfish). Lineage: Eukaryota; Metazoa; Chordata; Actinopteri; Labriformes; Labridae. The record is from RNAcentral.